Molecule: ribosomal RNA, 738 nt
Filed under: Cerioporus squamosus
Lineage: Eukaryota; Fungi; Basidiomycota; Agaricomycetes; Polyporales; Polyporaceae
Description: partial 28S rRNA
Rfam family: Eukaryotic large subunit ribosomal RNA
Source: RNAcentral
GUUGUAGUCUGGAGAAGUGCUUUCCGCGUUGGACCGUGUAUAAGUCUCUUGGAAUAGAGCGUCAUAGAGGGUGAGAAUCCCGUCUUUGACACGGACUACCAGUGCUUUGUGAUGCGCUCUCAAAGAGUCGAGUUGUUUGGGAAUGCAGCUCAAAAUGGGUGGUAAAUUCCAUCUAAAGCUAAAUAUUGGCGAGAGACCGAUAGCGAACAAGUACCGUGAGGGAAAGAUGAAAAGCACUUUGGAAAGAGAGUUAAACAGUACGUGAAAUUGCUGAAAGGGAAACACUUGAAGUCAGUCGUGUUGUUUGGAACUCAGCCUUGCUUUUGCUUGGUGCACUUUCUGAAUGACAGGCCAGCAUCAAUUUUGACCGUUGGAAAAAGGUAGGGGGAAUGUGGCACCUUCGGGUGUGUUAUAGCCUCUUGUCACAUACAACGGUUGGGAUUGAGGACCGCAGCACGCCGCAAGGCAGGGGGUUUCCCACUUUCGUGCUUAGGAUGCUGGCAUAAUGGCUUUAAAUGACCCGUCUUGAAACACGGACCAAGGAGUCUAACAUGCCUGCGAGUGUUUGGGUGGAAAACCCGAGCGCGUAAUGAAAGUGAAAGUUGAGACCUCUGUCGUGGAGGGCAUCGACGCCCGGACCUGACGUUCUCUGACGGAUCCGCGGUAGAGCAUGUAUGUUGGGACCCGAAAGAUGGUGAACUAUGCCUGAAUAGGGUGAAGCCAGAGGAAACUCUGGUG